GUGAACAGGCACAGGCAACCCUCGGGGAGGAAGAGAGGCCAAAUGGGGAAAGAUCCAAGCCAUUCUAGCCCCUUGGCUGAGGCCACAGGCACAGGAGGGAGGCCAGCCUAGACCAUCCCCCCCUUAGCCACAGCAGAGCACACCUGAAGCCCAGCUACCCUGAAGAAUCAUGGGAAAUACGCAGAAGCCUCGAACUCUGUGCCUUGCUUCCUCCUCAGCGCCAGUGCUGCCUCCUAGCCAGGCAUUUCCAAGUGAGCAUCAACACUGGAUAAUGGCUUCUGGCUCUGCCUCCUGCAUCUCCUCCACCUGCCCUCAAGUCCAGGACCUCCUUACUGAUUUUCUAGAACUAUCACCUGAUACCACAGGCUCCCUCUCUAGAUCCGGAGGAUGGUCCAAUAACAUGUAACGUCUGGCUUCCCUGGUGCCCCCACCACCCUUCGUUCAGGAUACGCCUGUGAGCGUUCUUCAGCCUAAUUGAAUAAUGGAACCACACUGAUCCUUUCUUCCGAGGUCCAGGGGCACUGUUUCCUCUCCACUCCAGUUCAGCUUGGGAAUGUUGACUUUGGAAAACAGCACCGAAAGCACUCUGGCUGCAAUUUCCAAAUCAGAAACAGCCUCCGAAUCCUUACUUAGCAGAGAGUAAGACACCCUGGAAGGAAGAGCGGUCUGUUUAGGCUUUGAGGGCCUAGAACCUCUUCUCUGCGCGGAGCCUCCAGGGAGGAUGUGAGGUCAUCACAUCCAGCUCACAUCCACAAAUGGGAACCUUCUGUGUGU
Molecule: long non-coding RNA, 774 nt
Organism: Canis lupus familiaris (dog)
Lineage: Eukaryota; Metazoa; Chordata; Mammalia; Carnivora; Canidae
Exons: 3
Source: RefSeq, a predicted model, not a curated record